UACGUAGGGUGCAAGCGUUGUCCGGAAUUACUGGGCGUAAAGAGCUCGUAGGCGGUUUGUCGCGUCGUCUGUGAAAACCAGCAGCUCAACUGUUGGCUUGCAGGCGAUACGGGCAGACUUGAGUAUUUCAGGGGAGACUGGAAUUCCUGGUGUAGCGGCGAAAUGCGCAGAUAUCAGGAGGAACACCGGUGGCGAAGGCGGGUCUCUGGGAAAUAACUGACGCUGAGGAGCGAAAGCGUGGGUAGCGAACAGGAUUA
Molecule: ribosomal RNA, 257 nt
Filed under: uncultured Actinomycetales bacterium
Lineage: Bacteria; Bacillati; Actinomycetota; Actinomycetes; Actinomycetales
Description: partial 16S ribosomal RNA
Rfam family: Bacterial small subunit ribosomal RNA
Source: RNAcentral